This 430-nucleotide ribosomal RNA is filed under the name Clostridioides difficile. Its description in RNAcentral is "bacterial LSU rRNA". It matches the Rfam family "Bacterial large subunit ribosomal RNA", at positions 1846 to 2274 of the family's 2925-position model. Lineage: Bacteria; Bacillati; Bacillota; Clostridia; Peptostreptococcales; Peptostreptococcaceae. The record is from RNAcentral.
AUGGUGCGGACGCCUGGCCGUUCCUGCAAGGUUAAGGGGAUCGGGUCAAUCAAACGAGGCAGUGAUCUUACUUCCCUGUAAUCGGCGGCCGUAACUAUAACGGUCCUAAGAUAGCGAACUUGCUGGUCGGGAAAGUUCCUACCCGCACGAAAGGCGUAACGAUUUGGGCACUGUCUCAACAACAGACUCGGUGACAUUGUAAUUCCGGUGAAGAUGCCUGAUACCUGCGACAGGACGGAAAGACCCCAUGGAGCUUUACUGUAGCUUGACAUUGGGUCUUGGUACUACAUGUACAGGAUAGGUGUGAGUCUUGGAAACCAGGAGGCCAGUUUUGGCGGAGCCAUCCUUGGGAUACCACCCUUGUAGUAUUGGGACGCGAACCAUGGGCCAUGAAUCUGGUCUUGGGACACUGUCAGGUGGGCAGUUUGAC